CCUACGGGUGGCAGCAGUGGGGAAUAUUGGACAAUGGGCGAAAGCCUGAUCCAGCCAUGCCGCGUGUGUGAAGAAGGCCUUCGGGUUGUAAAGCACUUUCAGUGGGGAAGAAAGCCUUGGGGCUAAUACCCUCGAGGAAGGACAUCACCCACAGAAGAAGCACCGGCUAACUCCGUGCCAGCAGCCGCGGUAAUACGGAGGGUGCGAGCGUUAAUCGGAAUUACUGGGCGUAAAGCGCGCGUAGGCGGUCUGAUAAGCCGGUUGUGAAAGCCCCGGGCUCAACCUGGGAACGGCAUCCGGAACUGUCAGGCUAGAGUGUAGGAGAGGAAGGUAGAAUUCCCGGUGUAGCGGUGAAAUGCGUAGAGCUCGGGAGGAAUACCAAUGGCGAAGGCGGCCUUCUGGACUGUCACUGACGCUGAGGCGCGAAAGCGUGGGUAGCAAACAGGAUUAGAUACCCUAGUAGUC
Molecule: ribosomal RNA, 465 nt
Filed under: Vreelandella stevensii
Lineage: Bacteria; Pseudomonadati; Pseudomonadota; Gammaproteobacteria; Oceanospirillales; Halomonadaceae
Description: partial 16S ribosomal RNA
Rfam family: Bacterial small subunit ribosomal RNA
Source: RNAcentral